Molecule: ribosomal RNA, 468 nt
Filed under: uncultured bacterium
Lineage: Bacteria
Description: partial 16S ribosomal RNA
Rfam family: Bacterial small subunit ribosomal RNA
Source: RNAcentral
GACGAACGCUGGCGGCGUGCUUAACACAUGCAAGUCGAACGGAAAGGCCCUGCUUUUGUGGGGUGCUCGAGUGGCGAACGGGUGAGUAACAUGUGAGUAACCUGCCCUUGACUUUGGGAUAACUUCAGGAAACUGGGGCUAAUACCGGAUAGGAGCUCCUGCUGCAUGGUGGGGGUUGGAAAGUUUCGGCGGUUGGGGAUGGACUCGCGGCUUAUCAGCUUGUUGGUGGGGUAGUGGUUUACCAAGGCUUUGACGGGUAGCCGGCCUGGGAGGGUGACCGGCCACAUUGGGACUGCGAUACGGCCCAGACUCCAACGGGAGGCAGCAGUGGGGAAUAUUGCACAAUGGGCGGAAGCCUGAUGCAGCAACGCCGCGUUCGGGAUGACGGCCUUCGGGUUGUAAACCGCUUUCGCCUGUGACGAAGCGUGAGUGACGGUAAUGGGUAAAGAAGCACCGGCUAACUACGUG